CUACGGGCGGCUGCAGUGGGGAAUAUUGCACAAUGGGCGCAAGCCUGAUGCAGCAACGCCGCGUGAGGGAUGAAGGCCUUCGGGUUGUAAACCUCUUUUAGCAGGGAAGAAGCGAAAGUGACGGUACCUGCAGAAAAAGCACCGGCUAACUACGUGCCAGCAGCCGCGGUAAGUACGUAGGGUGCAAGCGUUGUCCGGAAUUAUUGGGCGUGAAAGAGCUCGUAGGCGGUUUGUCACGUCUGCUGUGAAAAUCCAAGGCUCAACCUUGGACUUGCAGUGGGUACGGGCAGGCUAGAGUGCGGUAGGGGAGAUGGGAAUUCCUGGUGUAGCGGUGGAAUGCGCAGAUAUCAGGAGGAACACCAAUGGCGAAGGCACAUCUCUGGGCCGUAACUGACGCUGAGGAGCGAAAGCGUGGGGAGCGAACAGGAUUAGAUACCCUCGUAGUC
This 446-nucleotide ribosomal RNA is filed under the name uncultured bacterium. RNAcentral describes it as "partial 16S ribosomal RNA". It matches the Rfam family "Bacterial small subunit ribosomal RNA", at positions 339 to 795 of the family's 1533-position model. The record is from RNAcentral.